Molecule: non-coding RNA, 115 nt
Organism: Triticum urartu
Lineage: Eukaryota; Viridiplantae; Streptophyta; Magnoliopsida; Poales; Poaceae
Source: Rfam
UUGCUACUUCCUUCGUUUCAAAUUACUCGUCGUAGAAAUGGAUGUAUCUAGAACUAAAAUAUAUCUAGAUACAUUCAUACCUGCGAUAAAUAAUUCGGAACGGAGGGAGUAUUAU